RNAcentral lists this long non-coding RNA (2365 nucleotides) under Nicotiana benthamiana. RNAcentral's name for it is "long non-coding RNA (NBEN_LNC026906)". Lineage: Eukaryota; Viridiplantae; Streptophyta; Magnoliopsida; Solanales; Solanaceae. The record is from RNAcentral.
CAUUUAAGAAAUAACCUUCUAAUGAGGCUCAUAUUUGUUACAUUGAAGCUAGGGCAAGGGAUUGGAAACACCACCGUGGCUGCAAACACUGGUUGGAAAAUCAUUUACCAUCCAGGUUGCCCUGCCACAAUACGAGUCCAAUUGUUCUCUUCCCUAAUUGAUUUGCUCAGAGACAGAAAAAAAUAAUAUCAUCACAGCCUCAGAUUUUUACUAAAACUGUAAUUAUUAUUAUCACUACUAUUGAUUCUCUUUAUGGGAGAGAGGACGUGGAGACAGAGUAGAGUGGUCGUUUGGACAUAAUUUCCUGCAGAAGGGCAUUUUUUGGACAAAAUGAAAUCACAGGAAUUGUAGGAGGUAUUAGUUUUCUGCGUUGUGUAAAAAUAGAACUAUUUAAAGGAUCGAUAUUUCAAUACACUUAUUUACAACCCUUUAAAGAUAAUCCCAUCUGUUUUACCUCAUUUCUUUAAUCCACCCUAGAAGUAGUACUUAUCAUCCCAGCAUGUUCAUGCAGACAAUGGGAUAGGCUCAGAUUCGCCUUUUCUCAGACAAACCCCCAAAAGCUGUGGAAAAAGACUGCCAUGGCUGCAAGCAUCAGUUAGUCGUGUGAAACAGGAAAACACACACACAAAAAAUGGAUAAUUCUCCAAUAUCUCGGAGACCCAUCUGAGCUGCCAUGCCAAGAUUACAUUUUUUUCCCAGCUCAACAGAUUUAUAAGUCUGAUUCAUCCUCCACAGAAGAAAAAAAUCUUCAUAGCCUCAUUGGAUCACAUAAAUUGAAAGGGAGGGAGUAAUACGUAUUUUUACCAAAAGGGUGGUAUUAAAAAAGGACAUUUCAGUGAUCAUUGGCCGCGGACAAUUACAGAGAGGGGCAAAACCACAAACUUCCUACAGACUUCUGCCUUGACCACAGCCUCAUACUAACUAAUGAGUUUUUUGCUAUUUUCCUGUUAAUCCAAGGGCAGCCCGAAACAACCCACGUUUGCGGGGUUAGGGGAAGGGCUACACUAGAUGGCUGUGAUGUAGACAAAUACCCUAAUGCAAGUAGCUGUGAAAACUUUCACAACUCAGAAGACUCAUCUUUCCUAUUAACCUGUUAGUCCAAGUCAUAGAAAAGAUUAUCUACAUUUUCUUUUCUUGCAAAUGGGGCUCAGACAUGUUGUGAUAAGGCUAAACAGAAAUGAGGUUAGCCUAGAUACAAGAAACAUCAUCACACUGCCUCUUUAUGUCACUUCCAUCAGCAACAUCAGCGCGCCCACACACAAAAAGUAAAUACAGAUUUCACUCGGAAUAUUUUUUUACUUUUUCCGGAAUUUUACUAUUCUUAUGUCCAAACGCUGUCAGCUUCUGCCAUGAACAAAGGCUGUUGGUUUAUUUUGAAAAUGGAGGAAAAUCAAUGGCGGAGGGGCAACCACCCCUCUAAUGAAAAUGCCAAUGCUGUCUGUUUUGCAGCAUUUCUUUCUAGGCUAAUCAUUUAGCAUUUUUAGGGGAAAUUCUCAGUGGGUUUUUCACCUGCGAAUUUCAAGAAAAAAGCUCAUAAGUCUUCGACAACAACAAUCCAGUAUAAUCCACUUAGUGGGGGUUGGGAAGGGGUUUGGGAAGGGUAGUGUGUACGCAAACCUUACCACUACUCUUAGGCUAUUUCCAAAUAUCGAACUCACGACCUCUCGGUUGGAAGAGGAUUACUUUGUCUUCUUCAUAGAUCUGUAAUAUUUGAAAAUAAGGAAGAGAUUAUAGACACCCCCAUGGUUGCAAAUACCAGCUGCAAGACGUCACCGUCCGGGUUGCCCCGCCAAGAUACGGGUCCGAUCGUUCUCUUGCCCUAAUCGAUUUGGUCAGAGACAAAAGAAAAAUAUCAUCACCGCCUCCGAUUUUUGGUACAAUUAUUAUUAUUAUUAUUACUAUUAUUGAUUCUCUUUUGAGUGAGGAUUUGGAGAUGAUUAGCAGAGAGAACAGUAACAACCAAUAGAAAUACUUAAGGCGUCGUUUGGUUAUAGUAUGCUGCAGAAGGGCAUUUUUGGUACAAAUGAAAUCACAGGAAUUGUAGAGAGGAGCAGCUGCCCUUGCGCUUCACUCUACUCUACAACCCUCAUUCUUUGUCUCUAAGCUCUUAGUUUUAUGCUUUGUGUCAAAGAGAACCAUUUAAAGCAUCGAUAAUUCUUGUGUUGCCGUCUGGUGUAUGCUUAUCUACAACUUGGUUCCAUGCCAUAUUAGGCUUAUCUGCAGAUAAAGUUAAAAGGGUAUUUUGGGUACACUGUUACCACAUUAUAUGGUCAAUUGGAUUUUGGUUUUGUUAAAUCAUGAAUGGGAAUAUUUUGGUUUUGCAUGUACUUUGGACAUAAAGAAUUUUUCACUUUUUCGAAAAAAU